GAUGAACGCUGGCGGCGUGCCUAACACAUGCAAGUCGAGCGAACACACGAGGAGCUUGCUCCCCUGACGUUAGCGGCGGACGGGUGAGUAACACGUGGAUAACCUACCUAUAAGACUGGGAUAACUUAGGGAAACCUGAGCUAAUACCGGAUAAUAUAUUGAACGGCAGGGUUCAAUAGUGAAAGACGGUUUUGCUGUCACUUAUAGAUGGACCCGCGCCGCAUUAGCUAGUUGGUAAGGUAACGGCUUACCAAGGCGACGAUGCGUAGCCGACCUGAGAGGGUGAUCGGCCACACUGGAACUGAGACACGGGCCAGACUCCUACGGGAGGCAGCAGUAGGGAAUCUUGCGCAAUGGGCGAAAGCCUGACGGAGCAACGCCGCGUGAGUGAUGAAGGUCUUCGGAUCGUAAACCUCUGUUAUUAGGGAAGAACAAAUGUGUAAGAAACUAUGCACGUCUUGACGGUACCUGAUCAGAAAGCCACGGCUAACUACGUG
Molecule: ribosomal RNA, 497 nt
Filed under: uncultured bacterium
Lineage: Bacteria
Description: partial 16S ribosomal RNA
Rfam family: Bacterial small subunit ribosomal RNA
Source: RNAcentral